RNAcentral lists this ribosomal RNA (1062 nucleotides) under Triticum aestivum (bread wheat). Its description in RNAcentral is "partial small subunit ribosomal RNA". The record is from RNAcentral. Lineage: Eukaryota; Viridiplantae; Streptophyta; Magnoliopsida; Poales; Poaceae.
AUGAAGUUGCGUGCAAAGGAGCUGAUGGACGGGAUCCCAGGUGAGAUUCGCUUCCAUCAGAAGGGGAGAGUGGCGGCCGAAAAAGGCAACAGCGACAAUCAGGAGGUACUGCCAUAUAUUAGGAGAUCUUCUCCAAAGGAAGUGCUCCCGUCCAGAGUAGGAUUUGUGGAUUUGAGUAUUAAUGUUUUGGAAAGAAAUGCUGCUGAUCAGAUUCCUAGAGAGAUUUUCUCGUUGAGAAUUAUAGAAAAGGAAGAGGGAAAUCAGGGGAGGGCUUUUAUCUGCACAUUUAGGGGGAAGAGAGAAAUUAGGGGGAUUUUAAGUAGGAAACUGCUCUUUCAAGACCCAUUAUUUUUCUUUAAAUGCACGAAUUUCGUCCCGUUUGUGGCGAGGAGACACUAUUAUAACACCGAGGGGGAUUGCUCGAGGUCCGCAGUUCAUCAUACAGGAAAAAAGCCUCUGUCUUCCUAUCGGGUUUUCUUGUCUAGACCUGCUAGUUUGGUGAAAAGGGGAGAGAUGGAGAGGAAAGGGGAGACGGAGGAGGUAGGAAAGAGCUCCGGAAGUGUGCCUGCCAUUAUGGAGAAGAAUCUUCCUGCUCCGGCCUCCUCGCCUGAGGGCGUGGGGAAGACAUCGCCGAGGCGGCCAUGUGGAGAUGGCUCCCCUCUGAUCAUCGACAUGGAGGCCGCGCGGAGAGCGGUCAGAGGAUGCUUGGUGGUAGGGCGAUUCCUCUCGCCUUUCCAAGUUAAUCCUCGGAUCCUCGUCGACGACCUUCGUUCAUCGUCGGCCUGGAGGUUGCAAGGCGGGGUCACUGUUCAGGAGGUGGCCAGCGCCGACGGGAGGUUCAUCCUCAACUUCUCCAACGACGUAGACAGACGUUUCGUGUUGAAGGCCCAGCCAUGGCACCACAACCGCGAUGGGAUCAUCUUCGCCGAGUUCGACGGCAAGGGCGACCCAGCGGGGGUGGACCUUGGAUCCAUGGCUAUAUGGACCCAGGUUCGUGACCUACCAUUUGAGCUUAAAACUGAGGAUGUGGGUCGGUCUCUGGGGGGCAACUCGGUGAAGUGA